This 1323-nucleotide ribosomal RNA is filed under the name Triticum aestivum (bread wheat). RNAcentral's name for it is "partial small subunit ribosomal RNA". Lineage: Eukaryota; Viridiplantae; Streptophyta; Magnoliopsida; Poales; Poaceae. The record is from RNAcentral.
AUGUUUACUUCUGAAGAUAUCCCCAAUGAUCCUCCUUUGCAAGACGACGUUAUUCCCGAAGAAGGGCUUGUUAAUACUCCAGCCUCUGCCGAUCCGCCUACCAGCUCCAUCCAGAUAGAGAAAUCCCACACUCCUGCUGACCAAACGGCCGCACCAACACAAACUGGCGAGUCCAAAGAUGAUGAUGUUGUGAUUACCGGUGUGGGCCGCUCUGAACCCGGAAAUCCUAACACCCUUACCAAGCAUACCAUCAAGGAGGAUUUUUCCGCUUUGAACAAAGGAAAAUGGGAUGUUGAACUAGAGACAUAUGCCGCUCUGAGUGCCCAAGAUCUUUACUCCGGUUAUUUAAACCGGCUUUACACUAGCCGUGACUGCGACGCUGGCCUGGUCAAAAUGAUGAAGGAUAAAUUUGAGGCUGAGGUGAAAAUCAAGGAGGACCGAGUUGCCGAUUUACAGGAGGCCUUGAAAACCCAGCAGGCUGAAACAGAUAAGGCAAAGCAAGAAUUAACCAGCGCUUUGAGCACUGCUGAACGGCUGAAAGAAAGCUUCAAGAAAGAGCGGGCUGACUGGGCCACUGAGAAGGCCAGUUUAACCAAAAGAGCGGAAAAUGGUGAAGCGGCCCUUAAACCGGUGGUGGAUGAACUGACGGCCGUACAGCGGCAAAUACACUCCAUGACUGCUGCAAUCUUUGGCACACGUAUUGGGCACUUAGGAAAUGAUGUGCGGAAGAAAUUGAAAGCUGACUACACCUUGGUGGAACAAAUGUAUACCGGAGCCCAACGGAUCAUCACCUCAGCUUCUCACAACAACCCGGUGCCCUCUUUAAUCCAGGACACUCUUAGCAGGUUGUCAAUGCUUCCAGCCCGGAUUGAGGAGCUGAAAAAAUCCGCUGCCCGAACCGGAGCCAUCAAUGCCUUAAUCCGGGCAAAGGCAUGGGUGCCCGACUUUGAUCCUGUAGAAGCAGCUCAAGGCUAUCCCAGUCUAAAAGAAGAUGGCUCUAAAUUCAACGAAGAAGAUUUAAGGGCCAUAAACCGUGCAGUGCGCCCGCUGGCUUGCCAGCUAGCUGAAGAGGCAGAUUUGACGCAUUAUCAAGCGCAAUAUAAUAAUCAAAAUAAGCGAGUGCCUGCCCCAACUGUUGAAGCGGAGAAUCUGAUUCCUCCAAUCCGUAAGCACACUUACGCCCCUGAUAUUGAACCGUCUUCCCUGAUCCAUGAAGAGGCUGUUUUCCAAGCUUUAAUGGGAAUCGACUGGACCACUGUUGAUUUCCAGCCAAUGGGUAGAGACGAGGAAGCUGAAGCGGCGGAGGAUGAGGAGCAGGCUUGA